GAGAGAGAGAAGUUCCUGAUCUAUGCAUGGUACAUUGUUAAACAAAUACUAUUAAUAUUAUUUUGCUAAAAGCUAAUAAGAAAGGUGAAUAUAUACAUGUAAAACAUUUUUUUGUUACAAGCUUUAUAAAAGAGGACAUGAGGUCAUAGAAUUCAAAAAUCGAUUCAACUGGCCUUCAAUUUGUUCAUUUGUUUUUCUUUGUGUUUCUAUAGAUUUAUCUCCAAAAUAACUUGUGGCCUGAGAUGCUGACCCCAUAGAAGGAUAUGGCCAAUGUUUUUUUUCUUCUUUUUCUUUUCCAGUUGAUUCAAACAAUUUCGGAACUGGAGAGCAGAAGCACUUUUCUAUCAGAUUGUUUUGAUUCCCUAUAACAUGAAGCUGGGGAUUUCAGCGCCAGUGAUAUUGUUUGUUUCUUGGCGUUAUGAAUGUAACAUAUGGAAUCCAUGCAUGUGGUUUUGAUGGCUGCCAGCUGCUUCCUUACAGAGUCUCCAGUGUACAUAAAACCUGGAAAUGAGGAAAUAUGAAAGGAAGUUUUCCUAAUCCUGAGCAGACUAUAAAACUCCAACACAAUACUGAAACAAUGACUGAUGAAUGGUUAGGAUGGAGUGAAUACCUGAUGCAAGCACAGCGCUUCCUCUCAUGUUAUUGGCAAUAUUCCACACACAAUCCAGCUAUGUGAGCAAAAUAACAAAAUCCUGAGGCCUGCAA
Long non-coding RNA from Xenopus laevis (African clawed frog), 705 nucleotides. RefSeq lists it as uncharacterized. Lineage: Eukaryota; Metazoa; Chordata; Amphibia; Anura; Pipidae. The transcript has 3 exons. The record is from RefSeq and is a predicted model, not a curated record.